Molecule: unclassified non-coding RNA, 591 nt
Filed under: Aspergillus niger
Lineage: Eukaryota; Fungi; Ascomycota; Eurotiomycetes; Eurotiales; Aspergillaceae
Description: sequence contains ITS1, 5.8S rRNA gene and ITS2
Rfam family: 5.8S ribosomal RNA (bases 193-346)
Source: RNAcentral
GGGAACUCGAAGUGCGGGUACUUUGGGCCAACCUCCCAUCCGUGUCUAUUGUACCCUGUUGCUUCGGCGGGCCCGCCGCUUGUCGGCCGCCGGGGGGGCGCCUCUGCCCCCCGGGCCCGUGCCCGCCGGAGACCCCAACACGAACACUGUCUGAAAGCGUGCAGUCUGAGUUGAUUGAAUGCAAUCAGUUAAAACUUUCAACAAUGGAUCUCUUGGUUCCGGCAUCGAUGAAGAACGCAGCGAAAUGCGAUAACUAAUGUGAAUUGCAGAAUUCAGUGAAUCAUCGAGUCUUUGAACGCACAUUGCGCCCCCUGGUAUUCCGGGGGGCAUGCCUGUCCGAGCGUCAUUGCUGCCCUCAAGCCCGGCUUGUGUGUUGGGUCGCCGUCCCCCUCUCCGGGGGGACGGGCCCGAAAGGCAGCGGCGGCACCGCGUCCGAUCCUCGAGCGUAUGGGGCUUUGUCACAUGCUCUGUAGGAUUGGCCGGCGCCUGCCGACGUUUUCCAACCAUUCUUUCCAGGUUGACCUCGGAUCAGGUAGGGAUACCCGCUGAACUUAAGCAUUAAAAACCGGGGAGAAAAAAAAAAAAGGGGUG